This 195-nucleotide ribosomal RNA is filed under the name uncultured bacterium. Its description in RNAcentral is "partial 16S ribosomal RNA". It matches the Rfam family "Bacterial small subunit ribosomal RNA", at positions 338 to 524 of the family's 1533-position model. The record is from RNAcentral.
CCUACGGGAGGCAGCAGUGGGGAAUAUUGGACAAUGGGGGGAACCCUGAUCCAGCCAUGCCGCGUGUGUGAAGAAGGCCUUAUGGUUGUAAAGCACUUUAAGCGAGGAGGAGGCUACUGAGACUAAUACUCUUGGAUAGUGGACGUUACUCGCAGAAUAAGCACCGGCUAACUACGUGCCAGCAGCCGCGGUAAU